RNAcentral lists this ribosomal RNA (363 nucleotides) under Triticum aestivum (bread wheat). Its description in RNAcentral is "partial small subunit ribosomal RNA". Lineage: Eukaryota; Viridiplantae; Streptophyta; Magnoliopsida; Poales; Poaceae. The record is from RNAcentral.
AUGGCCGCCACAUCGAUCCCCUCCGCAUAUAACUGCGCCAACACGGACCCUAGCUAUCCCUCGCCCGUUCCCAUCUCUUUCCCCAUCAAGCCACCUCCUCCUCGGCUCGGAAACAAGCUCGAAAUCCCGCGUGUGUCGUCGCCGUUGCCGUGGCCAGUGUGCACCCCACCGCCUGAAAAUACGUCCAGGAGAAUCGCCAUCGUCUUCCCCGUGCACCAAAUCGAGUCGGGGCGGCCGGUACGCUCGCCAUCGACCUCGUCUUCACCGCGUACAUCGCCGACGUCCGCCGUCGAUUGCCGUCGCUCCAGCCCACCCCCAGUCUUCUCGAGCUCGACUACAGCACCGCGAUGCAGGGCCCGAUGA